Molecule: ribosomal RNA, 425 nt
Filed under: uncultured bacterium
Lineage: Bacteria
Description: partial 16S ribosomal RNA
Rfam family: Bacterial small subunit ribosomal RNA
Source: RNAcentral
GUGGGGAAUAUUGGACAAUGGGCGAAAGCCUGAUCCAGCCAUGCCGCGUGAGUGAUGAAGGCCUUAGGGUUGUAAAGCUCUUUUGUCCGGGAAGAUAAUGACUGUACCGGAAGAAUAAGCCCCGGCUAACUUCGUGCCAGCAGCCGCGGUAAUACGAAGGGGGCUAGCGUUGCUCGGAAUCACUGGGCGUAAAGGGCGCGUAGGCGGACUUUUAAGUCGGAGGUGAAAGCCCAGGGCUCAACCCUGGAAUUGCCUUCGAUACUGGGAGUCUUGAGUUCGGAAGAGGUUGGUGGAACUGCGAGUGUAGAGGUGAAAUUCGUAGAUAUUCGCAAGAACACCGGUGGCGAAGGCGGCCAACUGGUCCGAAACUGACGCUGAGGCGCGAAAGCGUGGGGAGCAAACAGGAUUAGAUACCCUAGUAGUCC